RNAcentral lists this long non-coding RNA (616 nucleotides) under Volvox carteri. RNAcentral describes it as "long non-coding RNA (VCAR_LNC002544)". Lineage: Eukaryota; Viridiplantae; Chlorophyta; Chlorophyceae; Chlamydomonadales; Volvocaceae. The record is from RNAcentral.
AACGGCACAAUCACGCCGGUCAGGAUCACAUGGACCAUCAACCAGGACGGCACGCACGGUCAUCAGUCCCCAAAUCCUUCACAAAGCCGCUUGCGUGCCGCAUACACCUAGAUCAUAUUGUAAAGUGUUAAGCGUGUGCGAUUGGCGUGUUUACUGCUGCUGCUUUGAAAAAUUCUCAGGAAGCGCGCAAAUCAGGUUGCCUUCUUGGAGCUCCGCCCGCUGCAUUACUUUACCUUACAGGUAAUUGUAGCCUUAACAAGUAUACGUUCUCGGCUUUAAUUUUGUCGAUACACGCAAACAGGGCCAGAAAACCGUCAUUAACGCUCGGACGUUUGCAAACCUAUCUUGCGUGUCGUCUUCAGGAUCCGUCCGCAUAUUCAGCAUCCGUCCUCAUGAAUCCCUUGGGAGCGAGAAGGGACAAGUGAACUUGCCUCGUAUCCCUCUGUGCAAGCGAGGAGUAUGCAUGACGACAUCCGUUGCCGUACACCCGUAGACACACGCGCCUCUCGACAAUUCCUACUGGACUGUCCUAACGCCAAGCUAAGCAAGUAAAUGCUGCUGGUUCUGUCCCAGGUCAAUUGGUUUAGGGUUUCAGUCAUGUGUGUGCGCACAGCAC